Molecule: long non-coding RNA, 2189 nt
Filed under: Salvia miltiorrhiza (redroot sage)
Lineage: Eukaryota; Viridiplantae; Streptophyta; Magnoliopsida; Lamiales; Lamiaceae
Description: long non-coding RNA (SMIL_LNC005929)
Source: RNAcentral
UAAGUUUGAGAAUUAAACAAAAGAAUUCCUCCCUUUCUCUCUUACCUCAAGUGUGCCGCCCCCUCUCACCUCUUUCUCUCUCAAUUUUUUUUCAUCAUCCUCCAUUGAUGAUCAUGUUCAAAGCUUCAUAGAUUAAUUCUACACCAUAAUCAUCCAUUAAAUCAAGCUCUACACUUCUAAAAUCAUUGAAUCAAGGAAGGAGUUGCAAGCUUGAAGCAAAAGAGAAAUUUGCAUCAUACCCUAAAUCCUUGAGUAAGUAUUAAAAACACCUAGAUCUAAGCUUGAUUAUGCUAUAUAUAUGUGUAUGUGGAUGAAAAUAGCAAGAAGACAUCACCUUUUAAUUUUUUUAAAUUUUUUAAAAUUUAGGGUUAACCCUUCAAAAAAAUUUUGUUUUCUAAUCUUUAAUUGAAAUCAUAUUUAUACUAUUGGGAGUCUAGUUAGUUCUUUUAUAUAUGCAAAGAAUGUAUCUAUAUUGAUAUGUGAAUUUUUGAAUGAGUUAGUUUAGGUGAAUUUGGGGAAUUUAUUUUAAGGAUUAAAUGAUGAGUUGAUGAUUGAUAUGAGUUUAUGAGAUUGCUAAUAUGUUGUUUGAUGGAUUAAAUUGAUGAUUGGAGGUGAUUGAUGAAAAUUUAUGUGAGUUUGUUUGAUGAGAAUUGGGUAUAAUUGCUUCUAUGCUUAAGAUUGUUAAUUGAUGAGUUAAUUUGAAAGACUUUAAAUAAGCUACUGACCUACUGUUUUGACAGGGUUUUUGUUACCCAAAAAUCUUAAAAGUUUUAUGGUGAGUAUAUAGGAGUGCCUUAAACAUACAUGUAAAUUUUUAAGUCAUUUUAACUUUAUUUACUAUGUUUUUAAAAUAUAAAACUCCUACCGAAACUUUCUACCGGAAAUAUCAAAGGGCAGACACUGGAGUCACCCAUUUCAGUAGCUUUCCGUAACAUUUUUCCUUCCAACCUUUUAUGGUAGGGAUAUUCAUGUGUUAGCUAGCUACCCACCAAAUUUCAAGCCAUUUCGGUAAUGUUUAGUAUUUUUCAAAAAUCAAAAUUUUCGGUUGCACAAAACUGCCGGAUACGGUAGUCUGUGGGAGGACAACCAUAUCUCUUAAACCACUUGGAGUUUUUCAACCUACUUUUUUUUAAAAUGAAACUAGACUCAAAGAGAUUUUCAUUGAUAUGAGUCUUGAAANNNNNNNNNNNNNNNNNNNNNNNNNNNNNNNNNNNNNNNNNNNNNNNNNNNNNNNNNNNNNNNNNNNNNNNNNNNNNNNNNNNUAUAUAUAUAUAUAUAUAUAUAUAUAUAUAUAUAUAUAUGAAAAUUUUCCCGAGUUAGUUUGCAUGCAUACAUGAGAUCAUGUAUAUGAGAUGAAUGUGUCUAUAUGUGAGCUUAAAUUGAAUUUAUGAGAAUUUUCUGAAGAUGAAAUCUACGCGUUAGUUUAUUAAAAAUGAGAUAAAAUGGCAUAAUUUGUUUAUGUGAAUUAUUUUUGGAUAAAUAAUUUAAGAAUGUUUCAUAUUAUGUCUUUGGCUUGCUAAAAUAAAUUUUUGAGAAUUUUUCCCCAACUAAAAAUAUUUUCUGAUUUUUACAAAAAGUUUUUAAAUAUGAUUGCUAAGAUGUUAAUGAACUUGAUUAAUUCUCUAUGAGCUAAUGUGUUAAUGUGUGUAUGCAUAUUUAUGUGUUUGUUUAAUGAUGUGGAUUAGUUCUAUGUGAGUGAUAAGUUGUUAAUAGGAUUGGUGUUUACUUAGGAAGUUCUUUUGAUAUGAGAGUAAGAUAGUUGGAGCGAAGUUAUGAGAAGUGAUAGAGUAUUACUAAGACAAGAGUAGUACUUUUAGUGAGGAAGUUUCUGACUGAUUUUAUCUUAUCUCAUGGACCACCUAUGCCAAUUACGAUGACUGAAGGUACGAGCAGAGAAUGGAAGUGAGUCCACCCCGAGUGCUACGAAAGUAAGCUAAGGUCAUCAUGUGGGCAUUAUUUUUACUAUACGAAAUGAGAUGAAUGAUAUGAUUUAACUGUUCAGUUUCAGUUUAAUGAAAAUUUUCAAUGAUGAAUGAUUUGAGAUUAAAUGAUGUUUUAACUAAUUGACUUGCCAAUUUUGAUGAUGAUGAGCCUAUAUGUUACCCUCUACUGAUGAGACGAAUUCGGGUCCUGCCACAAGUGAGAUUGUAUACACAGAGGUGAUCGUGAGCUGUCUUUCGGGUCGGUCG